This 356-nucleotide ribosomal RNA is filed under the name uncultured Acholeplasma sp. RNAcentral describes it as "bacterial SSU rRNA". It matches the Rfam family "Bacterial small subunit ribosomal RNA", at positions 1025 to 1382 of the family's 1533-position model. The record is from RNAcentral. Lineage: Bacteria; Bacillati; Mycoplasmatota; Mollicutes; Acholeplasmatales; Acholeplasmataceae.
AUUCGGGAGACAGGUGGUGCAUGGUUGUCGUCAGCUCGUGUCGUGAGAUGUUGGGUUAAGUCCCGCAACGAGCGCAACCCCUAUUGCUAGUUACCAUCAUUAAGUUGGGGACUCUAGCGAGACUGCCAGUGAUAAACUGGAGGAAGGUGGGGAUGACGUCAAAUCAUCAUGCCCCUUAUGACCUGGGCUACAAACGUGAUACAAUGGCUGGAACAAAGGGAUGCGAAGCAGUGAUGUGGAGCGAAACCCAUAAAAACAGUCUCAGUUCGGAUUGAAGUCUGCAACUCGACUUCAUGAAGUCGGAAUCGCUAGUAAUCGCGGAUCAGAACGCCGCGGUGAAUACGUUCUCGGGGUUU